RNAcentral lists this ribosomal RNA (473 nucleotides) under uncultured bacterium. Its description in RNAcentral is "bacterial SSU rRNA". It matches the Rfam family "Bacterial small subunit ribosomal RNA", at positions 8 to 526 of the family's 1533-position model. The record is from RNAcentral.
AGAGUUUGAUCAUGGCUCAGAACGUACGCUGGCGGCACGCCUUAUACAUGCAAGUCGAACGAAGUAGCAAUACUUAGUGGCAGACGGGUGAGUAACAUGUAGGUAUCUACCCUUUGGUGAGGAAUAACACGAGGAAACUUGUGCCAAUACCUCAUAAGUCUUUACGGAGAAAGCUUUAUGCGCCGAAGGAUGAGCCUGCACUUGAUUAGUUUGUUGGUGGGGUAAUGGCCUACCAAGACUUUGAUCUAUAGCUGAUCUGAGAGGAUGAUCAGCCACAUUGGGACUGAGACACGGCCCAAACUCCUACGGGAGGCAGCAGUAGGGAAUAUUGCACAAUGGAGGAAACUCUGAUGCAGCGAUGCCGCGUGAGUGAAGAAGGCCUUUGGGUUGUAAAGCUCUUUCGUCGGGGAAGAAAAUGACUGUACCCGAAUAAGAAGGUCCGGCUAACUUCGUGCCAGCAGCCGCGGUAAUAC